UGUUAACUAAUGGAGCUAGAACUGAUGUUGUUGAUAAAGAUGGUGAAACUCUACUACAUUGUGCUGGUGAAUGUGGUAAAGGUGAAAUGCUUGAGUUUUGGAGAGGAGAUUAUGAUGUGAAUGUUAA
Long non-coding RNA from Amphimedon queenslandica, 127 nucleotides. RefSeq lists it as uncharacterized. The record is from RefSeq and is a predicted model, not a curated record. Lineage: Eukaryota; Metazoa; Porifera; Demospongiae; Haplosclerida; Niphatidae. The transcript has 2 exons.